UGACUUCCGUGCCGGUUGCGUUCGGUGU
Molecule: small RNA, 28 nt
Filed under: Bombyx mori (domestic silkworm)
Lineage: Eukaryota; Metazoa; Arthropoda; Insecta; Lepidoptera; Bombycidae
Description: ovarian small RNA-32058
Source: RNAcentral